UACGUAGGGCGCAAGCGUUGUCCGGAAUUAUUGGGCGUAAAGAGCUCGUAGGCGGCUUGUCGCGUCGACUGUGAAAUCCCGCGGCUCAACCGCGGGUCUGCAGUCGAUACGGGCAGGCUAGAGUUCGGUAGGGGAGACUGGAAUUCCUGGUGUAGCGGUGAAAUGCGCAGAUAUCAGGAGGAACACCGGUGGCGAAGGCGGGUCUCUGGGCCGAUACUGACGCUGAGGAGCGAAAGCGUGGGGAGCGAACAGG
RNAcentral lists this ribosomal RNA (253 nucleotides) under uncultured bacterium. RNAcentral's name for it is "partial 16S ribosomal RNA". It matches the Rfam family "Bacterial small subunit ribosomal RNA", at positions 524 to 776 of the family's 1533-position model. The record is from RNAcentral.